Molecule: long non-coding RNA, 561 nt
Filed under: Panicum hallii
Lineage: Eukaryota; Viridiplantae; Streptophyta; Magnoliopsida; Poales; Poaceae
Description: long non-coding RNA (PHAL_LNC000263)
Source: RNAcentral
UAAUCCAUACAACACCCGAUUCUUUAACCGGGGACACCGAAGAUUCUCCUGAGCUGAUUACAGUAAGAUCUAGAAUGGGGAAAAAUGAGCAGGAUGGUGGAGAAGCGAUGGACAGUGGCGAGCUAAUCUUGUAGAAUCUACCGUUGGCUAGCUUCUGCAGGUUUCUCCUGUGGGCUCGCACUGUCCAGCAAAUCAACAUCCCCAACUCCGACAGGUGGACCAAUGCUGCAACGGGCUGUGUUGUGAAUUGCAAUGGCAUCCUUCAGCUUCUGAAGCUGCAAUUGCAAAUGGAGUUAGGUUUAAACAUGCGCACAAGUAAUACAAUCGGAAUGAUUUCCAGCCAAACUGUUGCAAAAAGAAAAGUGUAGCUCAUCUUCUUGCACAGCUUUUGAGAUGGAAACAUAUGGAAGGGAUGAAAUCAACGAAAAAAGUCUAAAAUAGUAUAUCUACUAAAUUGUAAAACAUGACUGUCCAACACAGCAAAGUGAUAUUAAUAAAAGGCAUGGAAAUGUGUAAAGAAACAUCCUAUCUCUAACAAUAUCAUGCAGCAACAGGUGAGGC